GCCAGGCGUGGUGGCGGGCGCCUGUAAUCCCAGCUACUCGGGAGGCUGAGGCAGGAGGAUCCCUUGAACCUGGGAGGCGGAGGUUACAGUGAACUGAGAUCUUGCCAUUGCACUCCAGCCUGGGCAACAGAGCGAGACUCCAACUCAAAAAAAAAAAAAAAAAACUAAAAAAAGGGUUACUUUUUUUUUUUGAGACAAAGUCUGGCUCUGUUGCCCAGGCUGGAGUGCAAUGGUGUGAUCUCAGCUCACUGCAACCUCCACCUCCUGGGUUCAAGCAAUUCUCCCGCCUCA
This 291-nucleotide small RNA is filed under the name Pan troglodytes (chimpanzee). The record is from RNAcentral. Lineage: Eukaryota; Metazoa; Chordata; Mammalia; Primates; Hominidae.